UACAGAGGGGGCAAGCGUUAUUCGGAAUUAUUGGGCGUAAAGGGCGCGUAGGCGGCUUCGCAAGUGGAAGGUGAAAGCCCUCGGCUCAACCGAGGAAUUGCGCUCUAAACUGCAGUGCUCGAGGAAGCUAGAGGUGAGCAGAACAGAUGGUGGAGCGGUGAAAUGCGUUGAUAUCAUCUGGAAUACCGGAGGCGAAGGCGGCUCACUGGGGCUUUUCUGACGCUGAGGAACGAAAGCCAGGGUAGCGAACGGG
RNAcentral lists this ribosomal RNA (253 nucleotides) under uncultured bacterium. RNAcentral describes it as "partial 16S ribosomal RNA". It matches the Rfam family "Bacterial small subunit ribosomal RNA", at positions 524 to 776 of the family's 1533-position model. The record is from RNAcentral.